CCAACCCGGUCAGGUCCGGAAGGAAGCAGCCGUAACGAGUUUCGCCCGGGUCGUAUUCAACCGGUCUCCC
This 70-nucleotide signal recognition particle RNA is filed under the name Rhodospirillaceae bacterium. Its description in RNAcentral is "partial signal recognition particle sRNA small type". It matches the Rfam family "Bacterial small signal recognition particle RNA", at positions 28 to 97 of the family's 97-position model. From Rfam's summary of the family: The signal recognition particle (SRP) is a universally conserved ribonucleoprotein involved in the co-translational targeting of proteins to membranes. Archaeal SRP consists of a 7S RNA and homologues of the eukaryotic SRP19 and SRP54 proteins. In most bacteria, the SRP consists of a 4.5S RNA and the Ffh protein (a homologue of the eukaryotic SRP54 protein). Lineage: Bacteria; Pseudomonadati; Pseudomonadota; Alphaproteobacteria; Rhodospirillales; Rhodospirillaceae. The record is from RNAcentral.